This 30-nucleotide non-coding RNA is filed under the name Rattus norvegicus (Norway rat). Lineage: Eukaryota; Metazoa; Chordata; Mammalia; Rodentia; Muridae. The record is from RNAcentral.
UCAUCUGCUGCACUUUGUGUCACACGACUC